GACGAAGGUGGCAACCGUUGUUCGGAAUCACUGGGCAUAAAGAGCACGUAGGCGGGGGCGUAAGUCGGGUGUGAAAUCCCUCGGCCCAACCGAGGAACUGCGCCCGAAACUGCGUCCCUCGAGGGCAGGAGGGGAGCGUGGGAUUCCUGGUGGAGCGGUGAAAUGCGUUGAUAUCAGGAGGAACACCGGCGGCGAAGGCGACGCUCUGGCCUGCUUCUGACGCUGAGGUGCGAAAGCCAGGGGAGCAAACGGG
RNAcentral lists this unclassified non-coding RNA (253 nucleotides) under uncultured Planctomycetota bacterium. RNAcentral describes it as "uncultured planctomycete contains 16S-23S intergenic spacer region". It matches the Rfam family "Bacterial small subunit ribosomal RNA", at positions 524 to 776 of the family's 1533-position model. The record is from RNAcentral. Lineage: Bacteria; Pseudomonadati; Planctomycetota.